UACGCAGGGGACUAGCGUUGUUCGGAAUCACUGGGCGUAAAGCGCACGUAGGCGGCGGACACAGUCAGACGUGAAAUUCCUGGGCUCAACCUGGGGGCUGCGUUUGAUACAUGUUCGCUUGAGUUCGGAAGAGGGUCGUGGAAUUCCCAGUGUAGAGGUGAAAUUCGUAGAUAUCGGGAGGAACACCUGUGGCGAAAGCGGCUCACUGGACCAUAACUGACGCUGAUGCACGAAAGCUGGGGGAGCAAACAGG
RNAcentral lists this ribosomal RNA (253 nucleotides) under uncultured bacterium. RNAcentral describes it as "partial 16S ribosomal RNA". It matches the Rfam family "Bacterial small subunit ribosomal RNA", at positions 524 to 776 of the family's 1533-position model. The record is from RNAcentral.